RNAcentral lists this transfer RNA (72 nucleotides) under Paramuricea clavata. RNAcentral describes it as "tRNA-Ser". It matches the Rfam family "tRNA". Rfam says of the family: Transfer RNA (tRNA) molecules are approximately 80 nucleotides in length. Their secondary structure includes four short double-helical elements and three loops (D, anti-codon, and T loops). Further hydrogen bonds mediate the characteristic L-shaped molecular structure. tRNAs have two regions of fundamental functional importance: the anti-codon, which is responsible for specific mRNA codon recognition, and the 3' end, to which the tRNAs corresponding amino acid is attached (by aminoacyl-tRNA synthetases). tRNAs cope with the degeneracy of the genetic code in two manners: having more than one tRNA (with a specific anti-codon) for a particular amino acid; and 'wobble' base-pairing, i.e. permitting non-standard base-pairing at the 3rd anti-codon position. The record is from RNAcentral. Lineage: Eukaryota; Metazoa; Cnidaria; Anthozoa; Malacalcyonacea; Plexauridae.
GGCCUCUGCUCAGUUGGUUAGAGCGCUGCACCGGAAUCGCAUGGCCGUAGGUUCAAUUCCUACCAGAGGACC